UCCAGACUCCUACGGGAGGCAGCAGUGGGUAAUAUUGCACAAUGGGGGGAACCCUGAUGCAGCGACGCCGCGUGGGUGAAGGAGCACCUCGGUGCGUAAAGCCCUAUCGGCAGGGAAGAAAAGCGAACAGGUUCGCCUGGACGGUACCUGACUAAGAAGCCCCGGCUAACUACGUGCCAGCAGCCGCGGUAAUACGUAGGGGGCAAGCGUUAUCCGGAUUCACUGGGUGUAAAGGGAGCGUAGACGGCGACGCAAGUCUGGAGUGAAAGCCCGGGGCCCAACCCCGGGACUGCUCUGGAAACUGCGUCGCUGGAGUACGGGAGGGGCAGGCGGAAUUCCCGGUGUAGCGGUGAAAUGCGUAGAGAUCGGGAGGAACACCAGUGGCGAAGGCGGCCUACUGGGCUUUAACUGACGCUGAGGCACGAAAGCGUGGGUAGCAAACAGGAUUAGAUACCCCGGUA
Molecule: ribosomal RNA, 461 nt
Filed under: uncultured bacterium
Lineage: Bacteria
Description: bacterial SSU rRNA
Rfam family: Bacterial small subunit ribosomal RNA
Source: RNAcentral